This 1214-nucleotide ribosomal RNA is filed under the name Triticum aestivum (bread wheat). RNAcentral describes it as "partial small subunit ribosomal RNA". The record is from RNAcentral. Lineage: Eukaryota; Viridiplantae; Streptophyta; Magnoliopsida; Poales; Poaceae.
CCACAGGUAAGCACAUGCAAGACAUACAUCAAGUGUUCUCAAAUACUUAAAGACUCAAUCCGAUAAGAUAACUUCAAAGGGAAAACUCAAUCCAUUACAAGAGAGUAGAUGGGAGAAACAUUAUAAGAUCCAACUAUAGUAGCAAAGCUCGCGGUACAUCAAGAUCGUACCAUCUCAAGAACACGAGAGAGAGAGAUCAAACACAUAGCCACUGGUACAUACCCUCAGCCCCGAGGGUGAACUACUCCCUCCUCGUCACGGAGAGCGCCGGGAUGAUGAAGAUGGCCACUGGUGAGGGAUCCCCCCUCCGGCAGGGUGCCGGAACAGGGUUCCGAUUGGUUUUUGGUUGCUACAGAGGAUUACGGCGGCGGAACUCCCGAUGCAUGGUGCUCCUGGAUGUUCUCGGGGUAUAUGGGUAUAUAUAGGAGGAAGAAGUAGGUCGGUGGAGCUGCGAGGGGCCCACGAGGGUGGGGGUGUGCCCAGGGGGGCAGGCAAGCUUGCCUGCCUCGUGGCCUCCUCGCUUCUUUCUUGACGUCCACUGCAAGUCUCCUGGAUGACGUUUGUUCCAAAAAUCACUCUCCCGAAUGUUUCAUUCCGUUUGGAUUCCGUUUGAUAUUCUUUUUCUGCGAAACACUGAAAUAGGGAAAAAAAACAGCAAUUUGCACUGGUCGUUCGGUUAAUAGGUGAGUCUAAAAAAUAUUAUAAAAAUGUAUAAUAAAUCUCAUUAAACAUACAAAACAGAUAAUAUAAUAAAAUGAAACAAUCAAAAAUUAUAGAUACGUUAGAGACGUAUCAAGCGGUGUGCCCAACCCGAACAUAUUUUUCAUCACCAUGAAGGUGAUGCCGACGAUGCUAGCGAACAUUAACCUGGGGUAGUUGUUCGUGACUGACGGAAGUAGCAUUGCGAUCCAUGUGCACAUGCCCAUGAAGGCCAGAAACGACAGUGCCAUAAAAAACGACAAAGCCAUGAGUGCAAGAAGUGGUUAGGUGGUCAUCCUGACGAGGUUGCCAGCGAGACCAAGAAGCGUGGCUAUCAUGUUGGAGAAACUGAAAUGCUUCAUCAACAUAUCCAUCAUCACAAAGAAGACAGCCAAGAUAUCCAUCACCACAAAGAAGACAGGUGCGAGCAGCAGCCCCACCGUGAGCGCGAUAAAGAGGAGGCCAAGAAGCGUGGCGAUCAUGUUGGAGAAGUGGGCGAUCGAGAAAUCUAGGAG